Raphanus sativus (radish) is the source of this 1868-nucleotide long non-coding RNA. RefSeq lists it as uncharacterized. NCBI's taxonomy places the organism in Eukaryota, Viridiplantae, Streptophyta, Magnoliopsida, Brassicales, Brassicaceae. The record is from RefSeq and is a predicted model, not a curated record. The transcript is spliced from 5 exons.
GAGACCUAUCACCCACAGAAACAACCAUUUAUCGCGCUUUAAUCAGAAAUAAUUGGAUCCCAAAAUACCCACCUCCUGCCAUAACGAUCCGGGUUUCCUGCAACUUUGUUUGAUGAGAGAGAGAGAGGAGAUCGAUCUCUAUCGACUUUCCAGAAUUUGAUCCGUUUAGGGUUUUCUUGCAACUUUGAUAGAGGAAACCGAUCUAUUUAUCAGACACAAAACUUAUGGGCCUGGGCUAUAUAACUUUAUGGUCUAACAUGUAGUGUUAUUCAAGGUUUCAUUUACGUAGACUGACUUGUUCACAUGAAUCUAGAGUCACUCGCAAUGAACUUGCAACAGUGUUCUUCCUGUUAGGAGUAUAGCUUAUUAGUUUCUCGUUUAAAAUUUCAUUUUCAUUCAGUGACUUGCUAAGGUUUUGCCGUUAUACCUUUUUAAUCUAACAAGUACUCUUCUUAUCUGUUAGAAAAGUAUAGCUUAGUUUCUUGUCCUAGUUACCUAAAUUUCACAAGUUAGAUCAUGGCAAGAAUAUUUUCCUCACGGCUUGAAAAUGGAAACAGGUAUGAUGCUAACUGAGGAGGUGAGCGUGAGAUCCAAAGAAGUAUGUUGGAACGUCUGAUUCAAGAGGAGAUGUUAAAGUCAUCCUUGCAACAAACAGAAUCGAGAGUCUUGACCCUGCACUUGUUCGGCUAUCAGCAAACCAUGCAUGGCUCGUUCCCGGAGCAGCUUUCACUGUAAAGAAGAAGGAUUGCUCCAUCAAAUAUGCUGCUUCUCGCCUAAAGCUAGCAAACAGAUCCCAUCAUCAACUCAAAGACCUCGUCUUCCCGUAAACUGUUUCCUACUCAUCGUACUAGAGCCACAGGUACGUACUGAUGUCGUGGCAGCUGUAGAGGGACAAGACUCUCCUCCUUUGUUAAAGAUGUUGCGAGUGUUGUCACGAUUGGUCAAGAGGUGAAAGUAAAGCUGGUGGAAGCUGACAUUGAGGCUAAACCUAUAUCUCUUACGAUGCGUACCAAGUUGAUGAAUCGGUAUAAAACAAGUGAAGAGAUUAUUUCAUCAGAAACUCCCAAGGUAGAAGAAGAAGAAAUGGGAGAGACCAAAGCUGAAGAAGUGACAGAAGAGCAAACGGAAACACUUGCUGAAGUUGAGGAAACUCCUCAUCUUCCUCCAGUUGCAGAAACCAAUAAGUAGAGAGGAAGUUGCUGCUGAUAACUCUAUUCCAGCCAGUGAUGAAGUUUCAUCUUCAGAAGCUGUAGCAAGUGAAGUCGCCGAGAAGGAGGAUGGGUUCUUUCCCAGCUGCAGCAUUUGAAGGAAGAUAUGAAGCUUAGUUACUUGGCUCAGGAACUCAUUCUUACCUCCUCAAUCUUGCUGUGCUAUGGGAAACUGUGAUAGUUUGCAUAAAAACCAUGAGACAGCACUGAAGAAUUUCCUACGAGCUGUUCAGUUGAAUCCAAGAUUUUGCAUAUGCACAUACUUUUAUGUGGCCACGAGUACGCAACUCUGGAAGACUUUGAGAGCGGAAUGAAAAGUUACCAAAACGCACUUCGUGUAGACACAAAAGACGCUAUAACGCAUGGUAUGGGCUUGGAAUGAUCUAUCUACGCCAAGUGAAGUUAUCGUUGUGUUCUCAGAGCAUCACUUCAGAAUGGCUUUCUUAAUAAAAUUUUGUUGUGUGAUAGACAGAGAAGCGAGGAAGCGUUAGAGAUAAUGGAGCAAGCUAUAUUUUUCUCUCCAGUAAUAAGCCAUCCCUUCGGUUUCAGCGUAUAUGAUGAUUUUCUAUAGCAAUUUUGUUUCAUCCAAUAAUAUUUAGAAAUUAAUGUUUUAUAUAUUCUUUCCAGAAUUUUAAUUGAAGUUUAAAAUAGUUGGUUUAA